This 754-nucleotide long non-coding RNA is filed under the name Struthio camelus australis. Its description in RNAcentral is "lncRNA (ENSSCUG00000000667.1)". The record is from RNAcentral. Lineage: Eukaryota; Metazoa; Chordata; Aves; Struthioniformes; Struthionidae.
GUAUGCUCCUAAAAACAAAGGGAGGACUGCUAGAAAAGGGAUUUAAUUCAGCUCUCGCCCAGCUUAGCACUAGCGCCUAAAGUAGAUGAAGCCUGCAGGCCGCAGGAGUGAGUUGUAAAUGAGCUCGAGGGACAUCGCUGAGGAUGCGACUGCAAACCCAGCUAGAACCAGCCCUCAAGGACACAGCACACAACGGCCAGAGGUAACCGUCAACCUUGGGAUAAGAGAAGGCACCGUGAAGCAGGAACACAGCAACCGUCCCGGGAUGUAGACGUGAACCAAUCCAGAGGAAAGAGACCACCGACUCAGUAAAGAAGAUUGGGAGAGACUGUCACGGGCAGUGUCAAAUGCCUCCAGAAAGCUGUAAAAGAUCCUUACCCUAUUAUUUGCUGACCAUGUGCUUUUAAACUAGGAGUCUGUGCUAAGUGUGGAAAGGAAGAAGAAAUUGUAAUUCUAGUACUUUGAUACUCCACUAAAGUCACCUGAGCUACAAGGUUUCACAUGAGAAAAACCUGCGAGGAUCUCAGCAACAUCCUCCAUCUGCAAACCGCAACAGGAGCAGCUGCCCCAGCCCGAGGCUUAUCCUCACUCAUGGGUCUUCAGAGAAUAAUCAGAGGCUAUUUGAAAUGCAUCUUCUGGAUGCAGGGAUGUAAAUUAGAAAUUAGAGCUGAUCUAAUUUUGUGGUGCAGCUCGAUUAAGAGUGCCAUUUCAGCAAUGAGUAUUUAAAUCAGGUUUCAACAGAAGGUAUUUUCUA